UAACGGCGAGUGAAGCGGCAACAGCCCAAAUUUGAAAUCCGGCUCCCCGCGGGCCCGAGUUGUAAUUUGCAGAGGAUGCUUUUGGCAAGGUGCCCUCCGAGUCCCCUGGAACGGGGCGCCGCAGAGGGUGAGAGCCCCGUACGGUCCGGCACCGCGCCUGCCUGUAAAGCUCCCUCGACGAGUCGAGUAGUUUGGGAAUGCUGCUCAAAACGGGAGGUAAACUCCUUCUAAGGCUAAAUACCGGCCAGAGACCGAUAGCGCACAAGUAGAGUGAUCGAAAGAUGAAAAGCACUUUGGAAAGAGAGUUAAACAGCACGUGAAAUUGUUGAAAGGGAAGCGCUUGCGGCCAGACUUGCGGCGGGCGGCUCAGCAGCGCCUCGUGCGCUGUGCACUCUGCCCGCCACAGGCCAGCAUCGGUUCCCGUCGGGGGACAAGUGCGGGGGGAACGUGGCUCUUCGGAGCGUUAUAGCCCCCCGCUACGCCCCGCCGGGGACCGAGGCUCGCGCCCUGUGCAAGGAUGCUGGCGUAAUGGCCGCCAGCGACCCGUCUUGAAACACGGACCAAGGAGUCAUCCUAGCAUGCGAGUGUCUGGGUGCCAAACCCUCACGCGAAAUGAAAGUGAACGGAGGUGAGAGCUUCGGCGCAUCAUCGACCGAUCCUGAUGUCUUCGGAUGGAUUUGAGUAGGAGCAUGCUGGGCUGGACCCGAAAGAAGGUGAACUAUGCUUGGAUAGGGUAAAGCCAGAGGAAACUCUGGUGGAGGCUCGCAGCGGUUCUGACGUGCAAAUCGAUCGUCAAAUCUGAGCAUGGGGGCGAAAGACUAAUCGAACCUUUUAGUAGCUGGUUUCCGCCGAAGUUUCCCUCAGGAUAGCAGUGCUGGUCUCAGUUUUAUGAGGUAAAGCGAAUGAUUAGGGACUCGGGGGCGCUUAUUAGCCUUCAUCCAUUCUCAAACUUUAAAUAUGUAAGAAGCCCUCGUUGCUUCGGUGAACGGGGGCAUUAGAAUGUACAGCACUAGUGGGCCAUUUUUGGUAAGCAGAACUGGCGAUGCGGGAUGAACCGAUCGCGAGGAUAAGGUGCCGGAGUGGACGCUCAUCAGACACCACAAAAGGUGUUAUCACAUCUGGACAGCAGGACGGUGGCCAUGGAAGUCGGAAUCCGCUAAGGACUGUGUAACAACUCACCUGCCGAAUGUGAUAGCCCUGAAAAUGGAUGGCGCUCAAGCGUCCCACCCAUACCUCGCCUUCAGGGUAGCAACGAUGCCCUGAAGAGUAGGCGGA
Molecule: ribosomal RNA, 1275 nt
Filed under: Haiyanga salina
Lineage: Eukaryota; Fungi; Ascomycota; Sordariomycetes; Microascales; Halosphaeriaceae
Description: partial large subunit ribosomal RNA
Rfam family: Eukaryotic large subunit ribosomal RNA
Source: RNAcentral